This 25-nucleotide transfer RNA is filed under the name Davilla nitida. RNAcentral describes it as "partial tRNA-His". Lineage: Eukaryota; Viridiplantae; Streptophyta; Magnoliopsida; Dilleniales; Dilleniaceae. The record is from RNAcentral.
GGCGGAUUAGCCAACGUAGACCGGU